AGAGCGAACGCUAGCGGGAUGCCUCAAACAUGCAAGUCGUACGCGAAAGUGACUUCGGUCACGAGUAGAGUGGCGCACGGGUGCGUAACACGUAGCUAACGUACCUCAUCGCUGGGGAUAACUCCGGGAAACCGGAGCUAAUACCGAAUAAUUCGUCGAGGUCUGCGGACCUUGCCGAUAAAGCCGUAAGGCGCGGUGAGAUCGGGCUGCGGCCGAUUAGUUAGUUGGCGGGGUAAUGGCCCACCAAGACGAUGAUCGGUA
This 261-nucleotide ribosomal RNA is filed under the name uncultured bacterium. RNAcentral describes it as "partial small subunit ribosomal RNA". It matches the Rfam family "Bacterial small subunit ribosomal RNA", at positions 26 to 285 of the family's 1533-position model. The record is from RNAcentral.